GACGAACGCUGGCGGCGUGCCUAAUACAUGCAAGUCGAACGCAGUGGGGACGGGUGAGUACCACGUGGGUAACCUCCCAUCAGAGGGGAUAACACUUGGAAACAGGUGCUAAACCGAUCCUGAUGGAUGGACCCGCGUUGCAUUAGCUAGUUGGUGCGGUAACGGCUCACCAAGGCCACGAUGCAUAGCGGACAUGAGAGGGGUAGCGGCCACACUGGGAAUGAGCCACGGCCCAGACUCCGACGGGAGGCAGAAGUAGGGAAGCUUCGGCAAUGGACGAAAGUCUGACCGAGAAACGCCGCGUGAGUGAAGAAGGUUUUCGGAUCGUAAAACUCUGUUGUUAGAGAAGCGGUAUCUAACCAGAAAGCCACGGCUAACUACGUGCCAGCAGCCGCGGUAAUAC
Molecule: ribosomal RNA, 403 nt
Filed under: uncultured bacterium
Lineage: Bacteria
Description: partial 16S ribosomal RNA
Rfam family: Bacterial small subunit ribosomal RNA
Source: RNAcentral